ACGCUGGCGGCAGGCCUAACACAUGCAAGUCGAGCGGUAGAGAGAAGCUCGCUUCUCUUGAGAGCGGCGGACGGGUGAGUAAUGCCUAGGAAUCUGCCUGGUAGUGGGGGAUAACGUUCGGAAACGGACGCUAAUACCGCAUACGUCCUACGGGAGAAAGCAGGGGACCUUCGGGCCUUGCGCUAUCAGAUGAGCCUAGGUCGGAUUAGCUAGUUGGUGAGGUAAUGGCUCACCAAGGCGACGAUCCGUAACUGGUCUGAGAGGAUGAUCAGUCACACUGGAACUGAGACACGGUCCAGACUCCUACGGGAGGCAGCAGUGGGGAAUAUUGGGAUCAAUGGGCGAAAGCCUGAUCCAGCCAUGCCGCGUGUGUGAAGAAGGUCUUCGGAUUGUAAAGCACUUUAAGUUGGGAGGAAGGGUUGUAGAUUAAUACUCUGCAAUUUUGACGUUACCGACAGAAUAAGCACCGGCUAACUCUGUGCCAGCAGCCGCGGUAAUACAGAGGGUGCAAGCGUUAAUCGGAAUUACUGGGCGUAAAGCGCGCGUAGGUGGUUUGUUAAGUUGGAUGUGAAAUCCCCGGGCUCAACCUGGGAACUGCAUUCAAAACUGACUGACUAGAGUAUGGUAGAGGGUGGUGGAAUUUCCUGUGUAGCGGUGAAAUGCGUAGAUAUAGGAAGGAACACCAGUGGCGAAGGCGACCACCUGGACUGAUACUGACACUGAGGUGCGAAAGCGUGGGGAGCAAAC
Molecule: ribosomal RNA, 747 nt
Filed under: uncultured bacterium
Lineage: Bacteria
Description: bacterial SSU rRNA
Rfam family: Bacterial small subunit ribosomal RNA
Source: RNAcentral